GAUGAAGAACGUAGCGAAAUGCGAUACUUGGUGUGAAUUGCAGAAUCCCGUGAACCAUCGAGUCUUUGAACGCAAGUUGCGCCCGAAGCCAUUAGGCCGAGGGCACGCCUGCCUGGGCGUCACACGUCGUUGCCCCCCCAUCUACUCCUUCGGGAUUGCGGGGGGCGGAUGAUGGCCUCCCGUGCGCCUCGCCGCGCGGUGGGCAUAAAUGCCAAGUCCUCGGCGACGCACGCCACGACAAUCGGUGGUUGCGAAACCUCGGUUGCCCGUCGUGUGCGGUCGUCGCGCAUCGAGGGCUCGAAAAAAUUGCCGGGUUCCGGCUCGGCUUUCAACGCGACCCCAGGUCAGGCGGGGUUACCCGCUGAAUUUAAGCAUAUCAAUAAGCGGAGGA
RNAcentral lists this unclassified non-coding RNA (391 nucleotides) under soil metagenome. RNAcentral describes it as "partial contains 5.8S ribosomal RNA, internal transcribed spacer 2, and large subunit ribosomal RNA". The stretch from base 1 to 122 matches the Rfam family "5.8S ribosomal RNA", at positions 35 to 154 of the family's 154-position model. The record is from RNAcentral.